This 375-nucleotide ribosomal RNA is filed under the name Triticum aestivum (bread wheat). RNAcentral describes it as "partial small subunit ribosomal RNA". The record is from RNAcentral. Lineage: Eukaryota; Viridiplantae; Streptophyta; Magnoliopsida; Poales; Poaceae.
AUGAAGACCUUCAUCAUAUUUGUCCUCCUUGCCAUGGCGAUGAACAUCGCCAGUGCCAGUAGGCUGCUAAGCCCUAGAGGCAAGGAAUUGCAUACUCCACAAGAACAAUUCCCCCAACAACAACAAUUCCCCCAACCACAACAAUUCCCCCAACAACAACAAUUAACGCAACAACAAUUCCCCCGGCCACAACAAUCCCCUGAACAACAAUAAUUCCCCCAACAACAAUUCCCCCAGCAACCACCACAACAAUUCCCCCAACAACAAUUUCCAAUACCAUACCCACCCCAGCAAUCACAAGAACCUUCCCCAUACCAACAAUAUCCACAACAAGAACCAUCUGGGAGCGACGUUAUAAGUAUCAGUGGCCUAUGA